AACGAACGCUGGCGGCGUGCCUAACACAUGCAAGUCGAGCGAGAAAAGGGGGGUACGUCCCUGAGUACAGCGGCGCACGGGUGAGUAACACGUAGGUAAUCUACCCUCGAGCCCGGAACUAACCUACCGAAAGGUGGGCUAAUACCGGAUAUGACCACGGGAGCUUCGGCUUCUGCGGUGAAAGGUGGCCUCUGCUUGCAAGCUACUACUUGA
RNAcentral lists this ribosomal RNA (213 nucleotides) under uncultured bacterium. Its description in RNAcentral is "partial 16S ribosomal RNA". It matches the Rfam family "Bacterial small subunit ribosomal RNA", at positions 29 to 222 of the family's 1533-position model. The record is from RNAcentral.